RNAcentral lists this ribosomal RNA (483 nucleotides) under uncultured bacterium. RNAcentral describes it as "partial 16S ribosomal RNA". It matches the Rfam family "Bacterial small subunit ribosomal RNA", at positions 30 to 507 of the family's 1533-position model. The record is from RNAcentral.
UUGAACGCUGGCGGCAGGCCUAACACAUGCAAGUCGAGCGGAUGAAGGGAGCUUGCUCCUGGAUUCAGCGGCGGACGGGUGAGUAAUGCCUAGGAAUCUGCCUGGUAGUGGGGGAUAACGUCCGGAAACGGGCGCUAAUACCGCAUACGUCCUGAGGGAGAAAGUGGGGGAUCUUCGGACCUCACGCUAUCAGAUGAGCCUAGGUCGGAUUAGCUAGUUGGUGGGGUAAAGGCCUACCAAGGCGACGAUCCGUAACUGGUCUGAGAGGAUGAUCAGUCACACUGGAACUGAAACACGGUCCAGACUCCUACGGGAGGCAGCAGUGGGGAAUAUUGGACAAUGGGCGAAAGCCUGAUCCAGCCAUGCCGCGUGUGUGAAGAAGGUCUUCGGAUUGUAAAGCACUUUAAGUUGGGAGGAAGGGCAGUAAGUUAAUACCUUGCUGUUUUGACGUUACCAACAGAAUAAGCACCGGCUAACUUCGUG